GCAAGCACCACCUUCCGGUGACAUACGUCACCCCUUCUGCAGGGGCCAGGGGGCGGAGGAGCCCAGCAGAAUCUGGGGCCAAAGCUAGCAGCUGCACAUCAGCUAAGGGGGUCGAGGAGAGCCCGCUUCCCUGCCAGCUGGCCCCGAGGCGGGAGGACUCUUCCAAGGAACUGAAGUUACCUGCAUAGAAGCUUCGCAGAUCGGUGUCCAAACAGUUCUCCAGGAAGCGCCUCAGAGACGCGCAUGGACUGAGGGCCACGGUGAUUGCUUCAGAACUGCUCUUUCUCUGAGGAGACUCGGAGGCCCCGCGAGAAGGGUCUGGGGGCUCAUCUAGUCCAGCCUCCCACCUGGUGUGGACUCCCUUCAGUGGUGUCCCGGACAGACGGCCAUUAAGUCGUGACUCGACCAUCCUCGUACUGGGAAACUCGAUGUCCGGGGGCGACCCGUUCCACUGCUGGACAGCUUUGAGUAUGAGUCACUCCUGAUUCUGAAUAGAAGCCUGCGCUCCUGUCACUUUGACCUGCUGAUACUACCUCUGCCUGUUUUUAGAAUACGUCUUCCCAGGGACAGCUCUUUAGUUUCUGGAGCAGGAAUCGCGUUCCCUAGCGGGGAGGGGGGGGUUCAUCUGUUGGUAGCUACUCUGUGCCAAGCACCGUGCUGACAUUCUGUGUUUUCAGUUUUUGUUUUAAAGACCUUAUCUUAUUAAAAAAAAAUUUUUUUUUUUUACAUUUACUUGUUUUUGAGAGAGACAGAGAGACAAAGCAUGAGCAGGGGAGGGGCAGGCAGAGAGAGAGACACACACACACCCCCACAGAAUCGGAAGCAGGCUCCAGGCUUUGAGCUGUCAGCACAGAGCCCGAUGCAGGGACUGAACCCAUGAACUGUGGGAUCAUGACCUGACCUGAAGUCGGAUGCUUAACUGACUGAGCCGCUUGGGUGCCCCAAGACUUUGUUUAAAAAAAAUUUUUUUUAAUGUUUGUUUUUGAGAGAGAGACAAAGCGUGGGCAGGGGAGGGGCAGAGAGAGUGAGAGAGCAAGAGAGAGUGAGAGAUUGAGACAGACACAGAAUCUGAAACAGGCUCCAGGCUCUGAGCUGUCAGCACAGAGCCCGACACAGGGCUCGAACUCAUGAGCUGUGAGAUCACUGGCCUGAACCGAAGUCGGACGCUUAACCGACUGAGACACCUAAGCACCCCUAUUUUAUUUUUAAGUAAUCUCUACGCUCAGUGUGGGGGCUUGAACUCAAAACCUCAAGAUCAAGAGUCGGA
Molecule: long non-coding RNA, 1267 nt
Organism: Panthera uncia (snow leopard)
Lineage: Eukaryota; Metazoa; Chordata; Mammalia; Carnivora; Felidae
Exons: 3
Source: RefSeq, a predicted model, not a curated record